UUUCCGUAGGUGAACCUGCGGAAGGAUCAUUAACAAAUCAAUGGUAGUGGGAGCGGGCCGAAAGGUCAUGCUCCCCUAUAUCAAUCCGAACCCGUGCAGCAAUGCCGGGCAAGGUGUGUGAGGAGCGGGUUCAGAAAUGGGCCAGUCUCCUCACACGGUGACGAUUGGCGUAUGCUAGUCAGAUCCACAUAGACGCUUGUAUUGUUUGACAGAGUUAGUUGACACUUUAAAAAUGACAACUUUUAACAAUGGAUCUCUUGGCUCUU
This 266-nucleotide unclassified non-coding RNA is filed under the name plant metagenome. RNAcentral's name for it is "partial contains small subunit ribosomal RNA, internal transcribed spacer 1, and 5.8S ribosomal RNA". The record is from RNAcentral.